Molecule: ribosomal RNA, 254 nt
Filed under: uncultured bacterium
Lineage: Bacteria
Description: partial 16S ribosomal RNA
Rfam family: Bacterial small subunit ribosomal RNA
Source: RNAcentral
UACGGGGGGAGCAAGCGUUGUUCGGAUUUACUGGGCGUAAAGGGCGCGUAGGCGGCCACGACAAGUCACUUGUGAAAUCUCUGGGCUUAACUCGGAAAGGUCAAGUGAUACUGUCGGGCUAGAGUGCAGAAGGGGCAACUGGAAUUCUCGGUGUAGCGGUGAAAUGCGUAGAUAUCGAGAGGAACACCUGCGGCGAAGGCGGGUUGCUGGGCUGACACUGACGCUGAGGCGCGAAAGCCAGGGGAGCGAACGGG